GUCUUUUUGAGUUAUUUUUAAAGUCUGACCUGCCCACUGAUUUUUUAAAUGGCCGCAGUAUUCUAACUGUGCAAAGGUAGCAUAAUCAUUAGUCUUUUAAUUGAAGGCUGGUAUGAACGGUUGGACGAGGUAUAAGCUGUUUCAUAUAAAUUUAUAAUAGAAUUUUAUAUUUUAGUCAAAAAGCUAAAAUAUAAUUAAAAGACGAGAAGACCCUAUAAAUCUUUAUAUUUUAUAUAAUUUAGAUUUUUUAGAUUUAUUUUAUUUUUAUUAUAUUGAAUAUUUUGUUGGGGUGAUAUUAAAAUUUAAUGAACUUUUAAUUGUAAUUUAAGUCAUUAAUUUAUGAAUUAUUGAUCCAUUAAUAGUGAUUAUAAGAUUAAGUUACUUUAGGGAUAACAGCGUAAUUUUUUUGGAGAGUUCAUAUCGAUAAAAAAGUUUGCGACCUCGAUGUUGGAUUAAGAUAUAAUUUUAGGUGUAGCCGCUUAAAUGUUAAGUCUGUUCGACUUUUAAAUUCUU
This 513-nucleotide ribosomal RNA is filed under the name Dacus telfaireae. RNAcentral's name for it is "partial 16S ribosomal RNA". The stretch from base 389 to 513 matches the Rfam family "Bacterial large subunit ribosomal RNA", at positions 2473 to 2597 of the family's 2925-position model. The record is from RNAcentral. Lineage: Eukaryota; Metazoa; Arthropoda; Insecta; Diptera; Tephritidae.